GGCGUGGGUUGUGUGGCCUCUCCCAGCUCCACGCGUUUCUGGGCGCCGGGCACUAGGCGAGCCGGCCGGGCUGGCGCGAGGCCGCAGGCGGGAAGAGUCCCCGGGGUCGGCCCCGAAGCGGCUCUGGAGGCAGUAGCCGGGGACGCCGAGGUCAGGGAGGAGGCGGAUCCGAGCGCGGUCCCGCAGGGCCCUGUCCGUUCUUCCGCCUCGGCCGGUCCCGUCAGGCCGCCUUUAAAUGCCCGGCGCCUCGCACCUGCUAACAAAACGAGCUCCUGCUGUUCCCCAGCUCCGUAAAUGGUGCCCCUGGCCCUCCCCAGUUCUCAGGCAGAGCCUUGGCGGCCUCCCUGACCCCUAACACCCCGCAUCCAGCCCGGCAGUACAUCCUGUUGGCUGUGCCUUCGAAAUUUCCCCAGACCUGACCUCUUCUCCCACCUCUGCCACCACCCUGCUCCGAGCCGUCUUUUCCCGCCGAGAUGACUGUAGUAGCGUCUCAGCUGGGUCUCCCCGCUUCCACCUUCCCCUCCUGAGUCUCCUCAACACAGGAGCCAGAGCGAUCUCGGAAAGUACAGGAGGUCAUGCCCCAGUGUGGUUCCCCUUUCCUGGGUUUAAGUCAAGGUCCUCACCGUGCCUGCCGGCCUCCCGGGUCUCUGCGCGGUGGACUCUGGACCUCCCUGCCCCGUCCUGCCUCAGGGCCUUUGCACCUGCUGUUACCGCGGCCUGGAACGCUCCUCCCCUGAAACCCUGUGACUCCCACUUAGUGAGGCGACCACCUGUUGAAAACCGUGCCCCCUUCCUAUACAGAUGCUCCUGUCAUAUGGGGUUAGAUUCCCCAUCAACCCAUCAUAGGUUAAAGCAUUGUAAGGCAAUUUACGGUAGGUUUAUCCGGAUGUAACCCCAUCUGUAAGCGGAGGAGUAUACUGAAUGUGUAUGGCGUUUGUACCAUGGCAAAGCCAAAAUGUAAGUCAAACUCGAAGUCCA
This 978-nucleotide long non-coding RNA is filed under the name Homo sapiens (human). RNAcentral describes it as "non-protein coding lnc-NPTX1-1:5". The record is from RNAcentral. Lineage: Eukaryota; Metazoa; Chordata; Mammalia; Primates; Hominidae.